Molecule: long non-coding RNA, 639 nt
Filed under: Bos grunniens (domestic yak)
Lineage: Eukaryota; Metazoa; Chordata; Mammalia; Artiodactyla; Bovidae
Description: lncRNA (ENSBGRG00000001828.1)
Source: RNAcentral
UCGAGUCUCAUUGGGUCGGGUCGGUCUUCUAAGUUGGCGGGGCCCUGCGGGACCGGUCUGCUUGACCCGACCGCGCUCGCAUUGGAGAGCCGAGGCUCGAUCGGUCUGCCGGGCUGCAUAACCCCGGCCCCGCAGCAGCGGCGUCCCUCGCGCGCCGCCGCGUUUCCCGCGCUCUCGGCCCGUACUUCCCGGCGCGGCCUACAAGGCCCCGCGCGGCCCCGCCUCCGGGUCCCGCUUGGUCUCCGGCUGCGAGAGGGAAGGCGGAGGUUAUCCGCCGAGGGACAAGCGGCGCGGACCGAGGCAAAAGAAGCAUUACAGAAUUUACUGUUAACCUGUGUCCCUAAAACUGCUCUUAAAGAAAAGGGGUGUUUUCACCUGAAUGAUUCAGACUGUGUGGCCGCUUCAGGGAUAAUUGGAACUCUCCUGUGUGGAUAUGGUUUUAAUGUCCAGAUGCUUAGCCUCGUCACAAAUAUUCCCUUAAAUAUGGGGUUCCUGAGCAGAAGGGAAAAUGAGCUUAAACAUGAGGCUUGGAGGAGAAAGAAGGGCUGGGGAGAAAUAUGCAGCUGCCAAAGGUCAUCUGACAUAAUAGCUGAUGAAUUCAAGCCCAGUGGAUUUCAUUUGCAAUUUUCAAUUUACUGA